Molecule: ribosomal RNA, 226 nt
Filed under: uncultured bacterium
Lineage: Bacteria
Description: partial 16S ribosomal RNA
Rfam family: Bacterial small subunit ribosomal RNA
Source: RNAcentral
UGAGUAACACGUAUCCAACCUGCCGUCUACUCUUGGACAGCCUUCUGAAAGGAAGAUUAAUACAAGAUGGCAUCAUGAGUCCGCAUGUUCACAUGAUUAAAGGUAUUCCGGUAGACGAUGGGGAUGCGUUCCAUUAGAUAGUAGGCGGGGUAACGGCCCACCUAGUCUUCGAUGGAUAGGGGUUCUGAGAGGAAGGUCCCCCACAUUGGGACUGAGACACGGCCAA